This 576-nucleotide ribosomal RNA is filed under the name uncultured eukaryote. RNAcentral describes it as "SSU rRNA". It matches the Rfam family "Eukaryotic small subunit ribosomal RNA", at positions 174 to 758 of the family's 1831-position model. The record is from RNAcentral.
UAAAAACCCCGACUUCGGAAGGGGUGUAUUUAUUAGAUACAAAACCAAUGCCCUUCGGGGCUCUUUGGUGAUUCAUGAUAACUAUACGAAUCGCACGGCCUUGCGCCGGCGAUGGUUCAUUCAAAUUUCUUCCCUAUCAACUUUCGAUGUUUGGGUAUUGGCCAAACAUGGUUGCAACGGGUAACGGAGGGUUAGGGCUCGACCCCGGAGAAGGAGCCUGAGAAACGGCUGCUACAUCCAAGGAAGGCAGCAGGCGCGCAAAUUACCCAAUCCCGACUCGGGGAGGUAGUGACAAUAAAUACUGAUACAGGGCCCUUUCGGGCCUUGUAAUUGGAAUGAGUACAAUUUAAAUCCCAUAACGAGGAACAAUUGGAGGGCAAGUCUGGUGCCAGCAGCCGCGGUAAUUCCAGCUCCAAUAGCGUAUAUUAAAGUUGUUGUGGUUAAAAAGCUCGUAGUUGAACCUUGGGCCUGGCUGGCCGGUCCGCCUCACCGCGUGCACUGGUCCGGCCGGGCCUUUCCCUCUGUGGAACCCCAUACCCUUCACUGGGCGUGGCGGGGAAACAGGACAUUUACUUU